Vespula vulgaris is the source of this 2634-nucleotide long non-coding RNA. RefSeq lists it as uncharacterized. The record is from RefSeq and is a predicted model, not a curated record. NCBI's taxonomy places the organism in Eukaryota, Metazoa, Arthropoda, Insecta, Hymenoptera, Vespidae. The transcript has 3 exons.
UUAAUAGAAAUAAAUGUCCAUUAAGAAACAAACAAUUGGAAGAGUGUCUUGCCUUCCGUUCGAGAUAUAUCGAACUCCAGAAGGCGGAAAGGAAUACGAUAUGGUCCACGUUAAUAGAAUUAAAUGUACAUUAAGAAACAAACAAUUGGAAGAGUGUCUUGCCUUCCGUUCGAGAUAUAUCGAACUCCUGAAGGCGGAAAGGAAUACGAUAAGGAUCUCAUUAAUAGAAAUAAAUGUCCAUUAAGAAACAAGCAAUUAGAAGAUUGUCCUGCCGUCCCUUCGAGAUAUAUCGAACUCCAGAAGGGGGUAAGAAAUACGAUAAAGUCCACGUUAAUAGAAUUGAAUGCACAUUAAGAAACAAGCAAUUAGAAGAGUGUCCUGCCAUCCGUUCGAGAUAUAUCGAACUCCAGAAGGCGGGAAGAAGUACGAUAAGGUCCACGUUAAUAAAAUUACAUGUACAUUAAGAAACAAGCAAUUGGAAGAGUGUCUUGCCUUCCGUUCGAGAUAUAUCGAACUCCAGAAGGCGGAAAGGAAUACGAUAAGGAUCUCAUUAAUAGAAAUAAAUGUCCAUUAAGAAACAAGCAAUUAGAAGAGUGCCCUGCAUUCCCUUCGAGAUAUAUCGAACUCCAGAAGGCGGAAAGGAAUACGAUAAGGAUCUCAUUAAUAGAAAUAAAUGAUCAUUAAGAAACAAACAAUUGGAAGAGUGUCUUGCCUUCCGUUCGAGAUAUAUCGAACUCCAGAAGGCGGAAAGGAAUACGAUAAGGUCCACGUUAAUAGAAUUGAAUGUACAUUAAGAAACAAGCAAUUAGAAGAGUGUCUUGCCUACCGUUCGAGAUAUAUCGAACUCCAGAAGGCGGAAAGGAAUACGAUAAGGAUCUCAUUAAUAGAAAUAAAUGUCCAUUAAGAAACAAGCAAUUGGAAGAGUGUCUUGCCUUCCGUUCGAGAUAUAUCGAACUCCAGAAGGCGGAAAGGAAUACGAUAAGGUCCACGUUAAUAGAAUUAAUUGUACAUUAAGAAACAAGCAAUUAGAAGAGUGUCCUGCCUUCCCUUCGAGAUAUAUCGAACUCCAGAAGGCGGAAAGGAAUACGAUAAGGUCCACGUUAAUAGAAUUGAAUGUACAUUAAGAAACAAGCAAUUAGAAGAGUGUCCUGCCUUCCCUUCGAGAUAUAUCGAACUCCAGAAGGCGGAAAGGAAUACGAUAAGGAUCUCAUUUUAUAGAAAUAAAUGUCCAUUAAGAAACAAACAAUUGGAAGAGUGUCUUGCCUUCCGUUCGAGAUAUAUCGAACUCCAGAAGGCGGAAAGGAAUACGAUAAGGUCCACGUUAAUAGAAUUAAUUGUACAUUAAGAAACAAGCAAUUAGAAGAGUGUCCUGCCUUCCCUUCGAGAUAUAUCGAACUCCAGAAGGCGGAAAGGAAUACGAUAAGGAUCUCAUUUUAUAGAAAUAAAUGUCCAUUAAGAAACAAACAAUUGGAAGAGUGUCUUGCCUUCCGUUCGAGAUAUAUCGAACUCCAGAAGGCGGUAAGGAAUACGAUAAGGUCCACGUUAAUAGAAUUGAAUGUACAUUAAGAAACAAGCAAUUAGAAGAGUGUCCUGCCUUCCCUUCGAGAUAUAUCGAACUCCAGAAGGCGGAAAGGAAUACGAUAAGGAUCUCAUUAAUAGAAAUAAAUGUCCAUUAAGAAACAAGCAAUUAGGAGAUUGUCCUGCCCUCCCUUCGAGAUAUAUCGAACUCCAGAAGGCGGAAAGGAAUACGAUAAAGUCCACAUUAAUAGAAUUAAUUGUACAUUAAGAAACAAGCAAUUAGAAGAGUGUCCUGCCUUCCCUUCGAGAUAUAUCGAACUCCAGAAGGCGGAAAGGAAUACGAUAAGGAUCUCAUUAAUAGAAAUAAAUGUCCAUUAAGAAACAAGCAAUUAGAAGAGUGUCCUGCCUUCCCUUCGAGAUAUAUCGAACUCCAGAAGGCGGAAAGGAAUACGAUAAGGUCCACGUAAAUAGAAAUAAACGUACAUUAAGAAACAUACAAUUGGAAGAGUGUCUUGCUUUCCGUUCGAGAUAUAUCGAACUCCAGAAGGCGGAAAAGAAUACGAUAUGGUCCACGUUAAUAGAAUUAAAUGUACAUUAAGAAACAAACAAUUGGAAGAGUGUCUUGCUUUCCGUUCGAGAUAUAUCGAACUCCAGAAGGCGGAAAAGAAUACGAUAUGGUCCACGUUAAUAGAAUUAAAUGUACAUUAAGAAACAAACAAUUGGAAGAGUGUCUUGCUUUCCGUUCGAGAUAUAUCGAACUCCAGAAGGCGGAAAAGAAUACGAUAUGGUCCACGUUAAUAGAAUUAAAUGUACAUUAAGAAACAAACAAUUGGAAGAGUGUCUUGCCGUCCGUUCGAGAUAUAUCGAACUCCAGAAUUCGGAAAGGAAUACGAUAAGGAUAUCAUUAUUAGAAAUAAAUGUCCAUUAAGAAACAAGCAAUUAGAAGAGUGUCCUGCCUUCCCUUCGAGAUAUAUCGAACUCCAGAAGGCGGAAAGGAAUACGAUAAGGAUCUCAUUAAUAGAAAUAAAUGUCCAUUAAGAAACAAGCAAUUAGAAGAGUGUCCUGCCAUCCGUUCGAGAUAUAUCGAACUCCAGAAGGCGGAAAGGAAUACGAUAA